AGAGUUUGAUCAUGGCUCAGAUUGAACGCUGGCGGCAGGCCUAACACAUGCAAGUCGAACGGUAACAUUUCUAGCUUGCUAGAAGAUGACGAGUGGCGGACGGGUGAGUAAUACUUAGGAAUAUGCCUUUGUGUGGGGGAUAACCAUUGGAAACGAUGGCUAAUACCGCAUAACGUCUUCGGACCAAAGGGGGCCUUGGCUCCCGCGCAAAGAGUAGCCUAAGCGAGAUUAGCUUGUUGGUGAGGUAAAGGCUCACCAAGGCGACGAUCUCUAGCUGUUCUGAGAGGAAGAUCAGCCACACUGGAACUGAGACACGGUCCAGACUCCUACGGGAGGCAGCAGUGGGGAAUAUUGCACAAUGGGGGAAACCCUGAUGCAGCCAUGCCGCGUGUGUGAAGAAGGCCUUCGGGUUGUAAAGCACUUUCAGUUGUGAGGAAAGGUUAACGGUUAAUACCCGUUAGCUGUGACGUUAGCAACAGAAGAAGGACCGGCUAACUCCGUGCCAGCAGCCGCGGUAAUACGGAGGGUCCGAGCGUUAAUCGGAAUUACUGGGCGUAAAGCGCACGCAGGCGGUUUGUUAAGCUAGAUGUGAAAGCCCUGGGCUCAACCUGGGAAUUGCAUUUAGAACUGGCAGGCUAGAGUUUUGGAGAGGGGAGUGGAAUUCCAGGUGUAGCGGUGAAAUGCGUAGAUAUCUGGAGGAACAUCAGUGGCGAAGGCGACUCCCUGGUCAGUAACUGACGCUCAUGUGCGAAAGUGUGGGUAGCGAACAGGAUUAGAUACCCUGGUAGUCCACACCGUAAACGCUGUCUACUAGCUGUUUGUGGAUUUAAUCCGUGAGUAGCGAAGCUAACGCGAUAAGUAGACCGCCUGGGGAGUACGGCCGCAAGGUUAAAACUCAAAU
Molecule: ribosomal RNA, 901 nt
Filed under: uncultured Paraglaciecola sp.
Lineage: Bacteria; Pseudomonadati; Pseudomonadota; Gammaproteobacteria; Alteromonadales; Alteromonadaceae
Description: bacterial SSU rRNA
Rfam family: Bacterial small subunit ribosomal RNA
Source: RNAcentral